Molecule: ribosomal RNA, 498 nt
Filed under: uncultured microorganism
Description: bacterial SSU rRNA
Rfam family: Bacterial small subunit ribosomal RNA
Source: RNAcentral
GAGUUUGAUCAUGGCUCAGAACGAACGCUGGCGGCGUGGAUAAGACAUGCAAGUCGAACGGGAGAAUUGCUAGCUUGCUAAUAAUUCUCUAGUGGCGCACGGGUGAGUAACACGUGAGUAACCUGCCCCGAGAGCGGGAUAGCCCUGGGAAACUGGGAUUAAUACCGCAUAGUACCGAAAGAUUAAAGCAGCAAUGCGCUUGGGGAUGGGCUCGCGGCCUAUUAGUUAGUUGGUGAGGUAACGGCUCACCAAGGCGAUGACGGGUAGCCGGUCUGAGAGGAUGUCCGGCCACACUGGAACUGAGACACGGUCCAGACACCUACGGGUGGCAGCAGUCGAGAAUCAUUCACAAUGGGGGAAACCCUGAUGGUGCGACGCCGCGUGGGGGAAUGAAGGUCUUCGGAUUGUAAACCCCUGUCAUGUGGGAGCAAAAUUAAAAAGAUAGUACCACAAGAGGAAGAGACGGCUAAACUCUGUGCCAGCAGCAGCCGCGGUAAC